This 368-nucleotide ribosomal RNA is filed under the name Salmonella enterica subsp. enterica serovar Telaviv. Its description in RNAcentral is "partial 23S ribosomal RNA". It matches the Rfam family "Bacterial large subunit ribosomal RNA", at positions 1323 to 1691 of the family's 2925-position model. The record is from RNAcentral. Lineage: Bacteria; Pseudomonadati; Pseudomonadota; Gammaproteobacteria; Enterobacterales; Enterobacteriaceae.
GAAAAGCCCGCUCGCCGGAAGACCAAGGGUUCCUGUCCAACGUUAAUCGGGGCAGGGUGAGUCGACCCCUAAGGCGAGGCCGAAAGGCGUAGUCGAUGGGAAACGGGUUAAUAUUCCCGUACUUGGUGUUACUGCGAAGGGGGGACGGAGAAGGCUAUGUUGGCCGGGCGACGGUUGUCCCGGUUUAAGCGUGUAGGUGUGUGUUCCAGGUAAAUCCGGUUCACUUUAACACUGAGGCGUGACGACGAGGCACUACGGUGCUGAAGCAACAAAUGCCCUGCUUCCAGGAAAAGCCUCUAAGCAUCAGGUAACAUCAAAUCGUACCCCAAACCGACACAGGUGGUCAGGUAGAGAAUACCAAGGCGCUU